This 253-nucleotide unclassified non-coding RNA is filed under the name uncultured Phycisphaerae bacterium. RNAcentral describes it as "contains 16S-23S intergenic spacer region". It matches the Rfam family "Bacterial small subunit ribosomal RNA", at positions 524 to 776 of the family's 1533-position model. Lineage: Bacteria; Pseudomonadati; Planctomycetota; Phycisphaerae. The record is from RNAcentral.
UACGGAGGGUGCAAGCGUUGUUCGGAAUUACUGGGCUUAAAGCGCGUGUAGGCGGAGUAUCAGGUAUCUUGUGAAAUCCCCGGGCUCAACCCGGGAACUGCUGGGCAAACCGGUAUUCUUGAGGCAAGUAGAGGUGAGUGGAACAACGGGUGGAGCGGUGAAAUGCGUAGAUAUCAGUUGGAACGCCGGAGGCGAAAGCGGCUCACUGGGCUUGUUCUGACGCUGAGACGCGAAAGCGUGGGUAGCAAACAGG